AUUGAACGCUGGCGGCAUGCUUUACACAUGCAAGUCGAACGGUAACAGGCCUUCGGGUGUUGACGAGUGGCGAACGGGUGAGUAAUGCAUCGGAACGUACCCAGAGGUGGGGGAUAACGCAGCGAAAGCUGUGCUAAUACCGCAUGUGAUCUGAGGAUGAAAGCGGGGGACCGAGCAGCAAUGUUUGGCCUCGCGCCUUUGGAGCGGCCGAUGUCGGAUUAGCUAGUUGGUGGGGUAAAGGCCUACCAAGGCGACGAUCCGUAGCUGGUCUGAGAGGACGACCAGCCACACUGGGACUGAGACACGGCCCAGACUCCUACGGGAGGCAGCAGUGGGGAAUUUUGGACAAUGGGCGCAAGCCUGAUCCAGCAAUGCCGCGUGCGGGAAGAAGGCCUUCGGGUUGUAAACCGCUUUUGGCAGGAACGAAACGGUGUCCGCUAAUACCGGGCGCUAAUGACGGUACCUGCAGAAUAAGCACCGGCUAACUACGUG
This 492-nucleotide ribosomal RNA is filed under the name uncultured bacterium. Its description in RNAcentral is "partial 16S ribosomal RNA". It matches the Rfam family "Bacterial small subunit ribosomal RNA", at positions 30 to 507 of the family's 1533-position model. The record is from RNAcentral.